This 700-nucleotide ribosomal RNA is filed under the name uncultured beta proteobacterium. RNAcentral describes it as "bacterial SSU rRNA". It matches the Rfam family "Bacterial small subunit ribosomal RNA", at positions 75 to 771 of the family's 1533-position model. The record is from RNAcentral. Lineage: Bacteria; Pseudomonadati; Pseudomonadota; Betaproteobacteria.
GGGGGUAACCCUGGUGGCGAGUGGCGAACGGGUGAGUAAUACAUCGGAACGUGUCCUGUAGUGGGGGAUACCCCGGCGAAAGCCGGAUUAAUACCGCAUACGCUCUACGGAGGAAAGGGGGGGAUCUUAGGACCUCCCGCUAGAGGGGCGGCCGAUGGCAGAUUAGCUAGUUGGUGGGGUAAAGGCCUACCAAGGCGACGAUCUGUAGCUGGUCUGAGAGGACGACCAGCCACACUGGGACUGAGACACGGCCCAGACUCCUACGGGAGGCAGCAGUGGGGAAUUUUGGACAAUGGGCGAAAGCCUGAUCCAGCAAUGCCGCGUGUGUGAAGAAGGCCUUCGGGUUGUAAAGCACUUUUGUCCGGAAAGAAAACUUCUGCCCUAAUACGGCGGGAGGAUGACGGUACCGGAAGAAUAAGCACCGGCUAACUACGUGCCAGCAGCCGCGGUAAUACGUAGGGUGCAAGCGUUAAUCGGAAUUACUGGGCGUAAAGCGUGCGCAGGCGGUCCGCUAAGACAGAUGUGAAAUCCCCGGGCUUAACCUGGGAACUGCAUUUGUGACUGGCGGGCUAGAGUAUGGCAGAGGGGGGUAGAAUUCCACGUGUAGCAGUGAAAUGCGUAGAGAUGUGGAGGAAUACCGAUGGCGAAGGCAGCCCCCUGGGCCAAUACUGACGCUCAUGCACGAAAGCGUGGGGAGCAA